Molecule: long non-coding RNA, 248 nt
Organism: Cyanistes caeruleus (blue tit)
Lineage: Eukaryota; Metazoa; Chordata; Aves; Passeriformes; Paridae
Source: RefSeq, a predicted model, not a curated record
CUGCCCACACAGGCCAAGGAUGAUGUUUGAAAGUUGCUUUUACAGCUGCUGAGACGAUGACAGACUGCUGUCCCAGGUGUACAGAUUUACAGAGAAAAACUGGGUGGCUCCUUGUCCUCUACAAUCCACAUACCCACAGAUCAGGUUACAACCCAACGUGUGUGAAGGUGGACACCUGUGCCUGUCAGGAUCUGUAUGGAGGGAUGGCAUGGCCUGGAGCCAAGGACUGUAAACUGUGGAUUUUUAUU